AUUUCCACAUCCUGGUCUUGAACCAAGGAUGAAAAGGAAAACCAAGGAUGAAAAGGAAAUGUUCAGAAAGUACUCUUGGAUCUUAUUAGGCUUCUGACAAUCUUUCGAUAAUCAAGUGGACAUCUGGAAACUGAUAUUAAGGAUAGGUAGAGAAGAAGGAUAUAAAACGGGAUGACAUCACUACAAAGAUACAGCCUCUGCUCUCUGGUUCCCUGCUAUGCCAUGCUGCUCUUGCCACUGCCUCCUACUGGAAAUAAGAUUCUCGAGCUAAAAUGGAUAUGAUGCCUUUGGAGGUUCAGCCUGGAAUGCAGAUUCAGCAACAUGGAAGCUGGAAGAAGAGUAAAUGUGAGCCUCCAGAUCUUUGCUGAAGAGCAAAUUUGCAAACUUGUUUAUAUGUGUUGUCAGGAUCACCAUCAUAAAUUGCUGAAGCCAUUGAAAAACAAUAAAUAGAACCUGCUUCAAGAGGAACUAGUGCCUCUCAUUGGUAUUACCUCUUUCAAGAUGACAGGAGACCUCAAGAGGCC
Molecule: long non-coding RNA, 524 nt
Filed under: Coturnix japonica (Japanese quail)
Lineage: Eukaryota; Metazoa; Chordata; Aves; Galliformes; Phasianidae
Description: lncRNA (ENSCJPG00005006801.1)
Source: RNAcentral